RNAcentral lists this ribosomal RNA (459 nucleotides) under uncultured bacterium. RNAcentral's name for it is "partial 16S ribosomal RNA". It matches the Rfam family "Bacterial small subunit ribosomal RNA", at positions 338 to 795 of the family's 1533-position model. The record is from RNAcentral.
CCUACGGGUGGCAGCAGUGAGGAAUAUUGGUCAAUGGCCGGAAGUCUGAACCAGCCAAGCCGCGUGCGGGAAGACGGCCCUAUGCGUUGUAAACCUCUUUUGCCGGGGGGCAAAACCCGGUACGCGUCCCCUCCUGAAGGUACCCGGCGAAAAAGGAUCGGCUAACUCCGUGCCAGCAGCCGCGGUAAUACGGAGGAUGCGAGCGUUAUCCGGAUUUCUUGGGUUUAAAGGGUGCGUAGGCGGGCGUUUAAGUAGGCGGGAAAACCGCGGGGCCCAACCCCGACGGGCCGGUGAAACUGGGGGGCUUGAGUGGGGCAGAGGUAUGCGGAAUGCGUGGUGUAGCGGUGAAAUGCAUAGAUAUCACGCAGAACCCCGAUUGCGAAGGCAGCGUACCGGGGCGCGACUGACGCUGAGGCACGAAAGCGUGGGGAUCGAACAGGAUUAGAUACCCCAGUAGUC